Entelurus aequoreus (snake pipefish) is the source of this 619-nucleotide long non-coding RNA. RefSeq lists it as uncharacterized. The transcript has 3 exons. Lineage: Eukaryota; Metazoa; Chordata; Actinopteri; Syngnathiformes; Syngnathidae. The record is from RefSeq and is a predicted model, not a curated record.
CCCUCUCUCCAGCUGCUUCGUUCAGCUCUUCCCAGGGGGUCCCGAGGCGUUCCCAGACCAGCUGGAAGACAUAGUCUCCCCACCGUGUUUUUUGCAGCAGUUUAAAACAAAACACCAGUUUCAAAAAAACUAAAAUUUUAAACAUUCUGGUGACUGAGCUGCCAGUUUAUUACUGUAAAAUCAGUAAUUUUUACAGUGUAAAAUUUGAUGGGUAAGUAAAACAGAUGUUUCAGUGUUCAUUUUUAUUACAACAAAAAUGUUUGGAUUGUAUAUUUGUUGUCUAACGCAGGUGUCAAAUCCAUACCUUUUGCAGUGACUGGUAUUGUCUUGCUUUCUAUUUACUCUUCCUGGUCACGUGACCGCCACGGUCCAAUUAGCUGUGCUUAUAAGCCGGUAGCAGGAAGUGGCCAGUAGACAGAACUUGAGGGGAAACCGAUUGUAUUUCUGCUCGGGAGCCGACUACCAGCGCCGGAGUUUUUUCUCAUUAAGCUGUGUGUGACUGUAGAAGAGUUGGCCAGGCUUCUCUUUUUGAUGGCGAGCUAAGGAAACUAAGCAUCUAGUCCAAGGAUCGUUCUUGGAAGAUUCCAGCCAGGAACCCCACCACCUGUUCUGUCUGGGC